Molecule: long non-coding RNA, 1957 nt
Filed under: Pelobates cultripes (western spadefoot toad)
Lineage: Eukaryota; Metazoa; Chordata; Amphibia; Anura; Pelobatidae
Source: RNAcentral
CUUGGGGCAGACACCAGUGGACACAGAGGGACUGUGGAAGGAACAAAAGACUGGAAGGAACAGACACUUUAGAGGGGCUGCAAAAGAGCCAUAUAGGGGCUUCAACUAAACACAUUAGAUUUUAGUCGUGUCGAUUGAAGACUAAACUAAAUUUAAAUUAACACUGCACCUUUCUAAAGGCAAGAGUCUUUGGUACUUAGUAGAGCAUACUUUUGCUGUUAUUUCCUGCUUCUAAUAAAAUGCAUAGCCAGGCACAAGCUUCUGGCAGUGUAACUGAGGAAUAUUAGCCCAUUGCUCAUGAGCAAUGGCCUCCAAUGCAGUAAUAUUCUUGGGUUUGUGUGCUGUAACCGCUUUCUUCAAAUAUCACCAGAGAUCUUCAUAUCCGUUGACUGUGAUGCCCACUGUAGGACUUCUUCUGCAACCAAGCCUUGGUAGAAUUUGAGGUAUGCUUGGGAUUAUUGCCUUGUUGGAAGGUCCAAUGACACCCAAGCUUCAGCUACCUCACAGACAGCAUGACAUUUUCUCCUAGGAUUUCCUGAUACUUUAGUGAAUCCAUCUUGCCUUCCACACAAUGCAGGUUUCAGUGCCAGAGGAUGCCAAGCAGCACCAGAUCAUCACUGAGCCACCACCAUGCUUAACUGAAGGCAGUGUUCUUUUCAGUGUAUGCGUUACUCUUUUUUUAUUUUUUCCAGACAUGCCACUGAUUCAUUGGGCCAAAAAGCUCCAGUUUUGUUUUAUCGCUCCACAGAACAGGAAUCCCCAAAUCUCUGUGGUAUAUUUAUGAUUUUGAGCAUAUUGGAGCCGACUAUUCUUGUGCUUUUGUGUCAGUAAUGAUGUACGUCAUGGAGUUUUGGCAUGGAAAUCUUCUGUGUUUACUACGCGCCUUACUGUGCUCUCUGAAACCUGAGUGUCUGUUGCUGCUAAGUCUUACUGCAGGUCUUUUGCAGUCACUCAAGGUUUUUUUUCACAAACUGCCUUCUCAGAAUUCUGGUUGCAGGCAUUGAUGGUUUUCUUUUUCUGCACUCUCCACAUAAUGUAACCACUGUUCCUUCAACUUUGAACUUGCAAACUAUGCUUCCAACUGUGUCUCUAGGAACAUUUAGUGCCUUCGCUAUCUUUUUGUAUCCUGUUCCUUGUUUGUAAAGGGCGACCUCUUCCCUUAACCUUGUGGACCAUUCUUUUGACUUGGCCCUAUUUCUAACAUGCAGUCAAACGUGACAAUCAACAACCCCUUAGCCAGUUGAGAUCAUCCGUGAUGAUAACCUCAGCCAUUCCAGUAGUUCCACAUCUGUGUGUCUAUUUUGGGGUUCCAGCUCAAGCACACUUGGUACAACUUAUUAAGCCCUUGAUUAGUUGCAUCAGGUGUGGUUGAGACAACACCUGAUUUGCAUAUCCAUGCCAUUGUGAGGGGUUCUAUUCCAACUGGUUUUAAACCAUUUUUUUAAAACCUGAUUUUCAAUGGGGGUUGAAUAAUUUAGAUUUUUUAAAACUAAAUGUCUUUGAGAUACUACUUUGGCCACAAGUCAGUUUGUAAAAUUUCUGUCUAAUUAGAUAUUCUCCGUUAAACUGUUAUCAUUAUGAAAUGGAGGAUUCUAGAAGCAACAGCAGCCCAACAAGUUCCAAGCCAUGUAUACCCACACUGGGGGUAUUGAGUGUUAAGUAGCAUUUAAUUUUUUUUAAAUCACUUAACUGUUGCAUCACUCAUUGAAAGCAACAUCAGCACAAGAACUGAGCAGCCAGAGCUUCAUGAAAUGGAUUUCCAAGGCCAAGCUGCUGUAUACAACCCUUGCUAAAAAAAAACAGGUGCACCAUGAUGGGGGAGAGAGAAUAAAAAACAUCUUCUUUAAUUUUCAAACUGACCUUUCAGCAGUGUGUUUACUUAUUUGUCCCCCUGCUCUGUUAAUUUAACUUUGAUUUCUCACACACACACUUCUUGCUCAAGCAGGCAACAGAGCAG